This 226-nucleotide ribosomal RNA is filed under the name uncultured bacterium. RNAcentral describes it as "partial 16S ribosomal RNA". It matches the Rfam family "Bacterial small subunit ribosomal RNA", at positions 28 to 239 of the family's 1533-position model. The record is from RNAcentral.
AGUGAACGCUGGCGGCAGGCCUAACACAUGCAAGUCGAGCGGCAGCGGGUUCCCGCGAGGGGAUGCCGGCGAGCGGCGGACGGGUGAGGAACACAUCGGAAUCUGCCUGGUUGUGGGGGAUAACGUAGGGAACUUACGCUAAUACCGCAUGCGACCCUGAGUCGACGGACUGGGGGUGAAAGUGAGGGACCUUCGGCCGUCACGCGACCAGAUGAGCCGAUGUCGG